Molecule: long non-coding RNA, 976 nt
Filed under: Helianthus annuus (common sunflower)
Lineage: Eukaryota; Viridiplantae; Streptophyta; Magnoliopsida; Asterales; Asteraceae
Description: hypothetical non coding rna
Source: RNAcentral
ACCGCCAUUGCACCACCACAAAACUGCCAUAACCAUCAUCACCAUCAAAUGCAGGAAAUCACCGGAACUCUCUCUCCUUCUCUUCUCCAUCUCACUUUUUUCUCCAUAGCCACCACCACCUGAAACCCCCUCUAGCUGGCAACCACCACCUAAAACCGACGCUUUCCAGAUCUGUUCCGCCGCCACCUAAAACCGGAGCUCUCUCUUCUUCAUCACUCUUUCUUCCGCCGCCUCUUAAUGUGGCCAGAUAUGUGACACCUGUGAACUCGUUGGCCGACCGACCACCACCAAACCCAUUGCCUCCUUGUUCGUCCCUGAUAAACACGGUAUCAUUCCUUUCUACUUUCUCUCUGAUUUUCCCGCUUCAAGUUCCGUAAUUGUUGCUGAUUUAUGAUAUUUGAUCUUUUUUUGAGGAAAUUUGGGCGAUAUUGUUCUUGGAUUUGAUACUCUCAAACCCUAUAUGCUUCUUUUGCUUCUUUUGGCCGGCCCGACCUUUUGUGAAGAACCGUCAGCCCAACCGCCCGGAUCCCGGCUCGACCCUCGGGUCAAUGUUGAAACAGCCUAACUAGCUGAAUCGGCCCGCUGCACCUUCUGGAUCCCGGUCGGACCGGUCCGUCCGACCGGCCGGCCCGGACCGGGUUUAAAAACGUUGAUAAAGUUAAAGUAUUUAGCGGAAGCAUUAAACACAAGGUCCAAAAUAGUUUAAAACAUAAGUCUAAGAGUCCAUAACGGAUUUCAAAAUGAUACCACACUCCUUCAGCUAAAAGCUCCAGCACUGCAUCUACGGACCUGCAAGCAUGCAUCAAUAUGUCAACAUAAAGUUGGCGAGUUCACGAUUUAAAAAGAGUUUUCUUGUUUUAUCCCAAAACUUCAUUUGUUUAAGUUACCGUUUAUAAAACAUGCCACGGGGAGCUACCCCAUGUAAGUUACCAAACUGUGUAGUACCGAAACUGAGACUUAUAGUGCAUUUGCCCUU